Long non-coding RNA from Mesocricetus auratus (golden hamster), 1998 nucleotides. RefSeq lists it as uncharacterized. The record is from RefSeq and is a predicted model, not a curated record. The transcript is spliced from 3 exons. Lineage: Eukaryota; Metazoa; Chordata; Mammalia; Rodentia; Cricetidae.
UUCUGUACCAACUCUGGGUGCAGGACCAAGCAAAAACCGGAAGAAUUGGAGAAAGAAGACAUUAGUGAAGACCAGAACUAGAAAUUUGAUGUUUUAUAUAUCAGGAGAGUCCAGAAAUAGUCACGAAAUCUGCACACUGAAGGAGAGAAUCCUGAACAUGUUUUCUCAUGUUAUGUCUUCCAUUAGCAUGUGUGUAGACGGGCACCAAGUUUACUGGAGGACAGAAGCAAACACUACCCUCAAUGAUGAGGUCAUCACAACUUCAGAGCAAUUCCAGACUUCAAGGAAACAUGUUCAGGCAAACAGAGUACUCUCUCUAGGCCAGACGGACUUUUAUGUGUGCUGUGUUGUGUUUGGUGGCCACAGCGCAGUCAGGAAGAUGGUCAUCAGGAUGACUUGGUUGCAAGACCAGACAAUCUGGAGCAGCUUACAUUGAGUUGAGGCAGGAGGGAGGGCUACCUCAUGCUGUUCUACAUGAGCCAAAUAUGACACAGACCACAGAGCAGCAGCCAUAUCCUCUUGUCUCACAGAGCUGGUGAGGAGGUCCACUUUGUUCUGGAAGUUGUUAUCUCACAAGUGAUGCUGUGGAGCUUCAAUAGUCAGUGAUCAUAAAAAGCCAAAGGACCGAAGUGUGAAGAGUUUAAGCCCCAAACAGCAUCCUCUAAGGUUCUGGUGGGAGCCUAGCCAGUACCAUCAGUAGGGUAUUCUCUUGUAAACUCUGAUAUUUUUCUCAGUUUCCAUGGUGUUGGGGUACCAGACUCUAGUCAAGUAUCUCACCUAGGGAGACACUGUGCUGCCUGUGUCAGGAACCUCAGUUUCUACCUGAAUCUGUAUGUUGGUGGUAAGCCUCAUCCAGGCUUACAGUCAAUCAAAAAGCAAGCUCACUCGAGUCAGAAACUUGACUUUCCAUGUCGUCAGUUAGGUUUAAGUUCUGUGCCUUACUUCUUUAACAAACCUUUGUCUCUCACAGAAGCCCUCUGAGCAGUCACACAUGUAGGCUUGUGUCUGGGACUCUUUGGGACCACUGUCCCUCUGCAGUCAAUUAGUAUGUAUGAGCACUUAAAACCUGUGCUCUAGGUACCCUGAAGCAGCCAAAGUGGGCCAGCAGUGGGCACACUGGGCCCUUACAAACAUACUGGUUCCUGGCCAGAAAAUAUUUUAACCUCUAAACAAAUACCAUUUUAAGAGAAUCAAUUUCCAGUCUCUAUGGACUCCUAAUGUACUGUUCAACCUUGAAAUAAGCUUCAUUAAUAGAGGGCACCUCAGUGUCUUCCUUUGGGCUCUGUGAAUGAGCAUAGUGUGCAUACAUACAUACCAGUGAACAUAUAUGACACAGGUUGAAAAUAUACACAGAUAGAUACAUACACCAUGCUCAAAUAUAGAAAAGUCUCUCUCUCUCUCACUCUACACACACACACACACACACACACACACACAGGAGCUCUACCUCUUGGAAUGAGCACAUUGAUUCUAGGAUCCCAGCCUUUCUUGGGUCUCUGUGGCUGCAUCCCUGGCUCUUACAUAUUUUAUGGGAUGGGCUUCUGGUCCUCUCACUAUGUUGCUGCAUUUCCUCUGAAUCCAAACUCAGUGGAAAAGUCUGGGCUGAUGUGGAGUAAAGUGCCAGAAUCUCAUUGAUCUGAGAUUGAUUCUACACCUUGAGAAACAACUGAUCACUGCUAAGUGUAUUAUAAAGAACACAACCUGGGAGAAGAAACCACUUCCUAGGCAGGUGAGAUCCACUUUCUAGGUAAAAUCACAGAAUCAAAUAUGUUUAAUUUACCAUCUUACAUAGUUUUUCCCUUUGCAUUCAGAUAGCUUGACUGUUAUGGUUUCAAUAAGAAUGGUCCCCAUAGGUUAUAGAUUUGAAUACUUGGUCAUUCAUCUAGGAUUGGUACUACUUGAGAAGGAAUAGGAUGUGUGCUCUUUGAAGGAAGUAUGUCACUAGCAGUGGUAUUUGAGGUUUCAAAAGUCCAUGCCAAGCCCAGUGACUCCAUUUUC